Molecule: long non-coding RNA, 3376 nt
Organism: Tympanuchus pallidicinctus (lesser prairie-chicken)
Lineage: Eukaryota; Metazoa; Chordata; Aves; Galliformes; Phasianidae
Exons: 3
Source: RefSeq, a predicted model, not a curated record
UCUGCUUCACUUCCAUUGGCUGUAAGCACUCCUCUCCCUCUGCCCCUGGCCCUUGUCCGGGGACCUUUGCCUUUGGUUUAUGGCUCUCCUUUGAGCAGUGUCUGUGUCUCGCACCCUUGACAACAGUCUCCUCUCCUCCAGUCGUUCUGAAGGUUUGGAUCUCAAAUAGAGUUUAAAAAAAAAAGAAAAGAAAAAAAAAUAAGAAAAAAAAAAUUACUUCUCCAGCUCUCUGAUCAUCCCUUGGUGCUUGGACAUUGUCCUGCCCCUUCAUCUGCCAGUUCUUCUUCAGAAGAAGCGUAUUAAAAGGCCCCAAAAUCACGAGGCCCAGAGGCCCUGAUGCUGGCAGUUUUAUGGAGAUAGCAACAGAAAGAACAUCCCGUCAUCACAGCAGCCUGGAGGUGGAGCACUGGAAAAAAGGAGGCUGCCCAGAAAUAUCUUUGCAGGAAGGGAAGAAAGGAAGAGAUUCUCCCAAGGAAACCAACCAACCUUAGAAAAAAUGAAGCCCUCGGUAAAGGAAAAAAGAAAAAGGGAAUCACGUUUUAUAUUGUCUUUUUAAUUAACCCAUCUAAUAUUGCCUGAGUAUGCAGGAGCAGAGAAACGAGGAAGUAGCAGAGAUUACGGUAAGGGUUUGCUGUAUCCCAUGUCCUAAGUGUAAAUAAUGUUCCUGUUAAUUUAAAACCAAGGCUGACUGUCUUUACGACUUCAUUGCACUCACAUUAGCUCUACCUUUAGGCAGUGUCAUGGGUGCAAAUAGAUUGGGUUGAAAACUUCCCUAGAGCCACUUUAAAGUGACAUCUAAUCUUUCCCUUUAGUGGUGUUAAUUCAACUUCACAAGAGCAUUUGAAGCACCAUUAGGCAGAGAAAUGGACCUUCUCUCCUGCUGGUGCCCUUAUCCAAAUCACAACAUUCCCCCCCAAAAAUCUGUUUCAUAUCAGGCCAACUGUCGGUGGCUCCAGAGAGCAGCUGAAGGAGACGUGGGCUUCCUCUUUAUGAGAGUUAAAUACAUAAAGGAUUUGUGUUUCGUGUUUCUUGCUGCCUGCUGGAAGUCUCUAAGAGUCUUGGGAACCUCCUGGCUCACACAAUGCAGUGGGAAUGGGGACAGAGAAAGACUUGGGGAUGCCACCAUGGAGACAGAGGAUUCCCCACAAACCAGACUGCCUGCCAGGGUAUGAUGGCAUGCUGUUGGGAUGGAUUUUAACCAAGGAAAAGUGGAAAAUGAAGUGCUGGGAAGGAAGCCCCAUGAGCUUUGUGGUAGGCCACAGUCAUGUCCUUACAUCUGUCUGGCAUUCCACAAAUGGGCAGAGAGGUUGAGCAAAGGCCACAAGUGUUACUGCUCACCAGUGGGAAGGGUGUUGGCCAUUAAAUAGAAAUGUGUUACAAAAGCUGUGCGGCCCAGAGGCACUGUGGUGCUGCAGCUGGAGCAAGAUUUCUCAUCUGUGCUGGCUGAGGGCAGCACUCUGCCCCAUCUCCUGCCUCCAGCACGGCUCACAGCAGAGAGAUAGGGAAAAGACAUGCAUGCAGUGCUAGGGGUGAUGGCUCAGCCCCUGAUGGUGAGCAAGGUAAGAAACUUUCUGACCUGGUGGCUUUGUAUGGAUUGCUGCUGACGGUCAAAGGUGGAUGUGCCCUUUAGUAACCUGUUGGAUUCCCUUCAGCCUCCUGUUGACAUCUUUGACUUCUGCAGCCUAUGAUGGCAGCAAGUUCAAGGUCACAUUCUAUGAGAAAAACUCUGAAGCAGUGACUAAAUAUUCUCCUGAACCCUUCCCUUCUCCUUCCAGGAUGAGGCAGACCUCUGUCACCUUCAGCCUUGGCCAUCUCUUGGUCCUGGCCAGUUUAGUCCCCAGCACGUGGGAUGGUCACACUCAUUUUGGGUGGAGAAAGUAUUACGUUACAGAACAGCCUGCUCAAGGAGAAGCAAAGCAUCCCAAGGUCUGGCAGGUGCAGGAGUUGAGAGCAUGGAGGGAAGGUCUGCAAGGCUGUGGGAUGCGACUUUCUCCUCUCAUCCAGGAGGGGGCAAUCCGUGGCUGGAACUGAAGCGAAAGGAGCGCCGGAUAAAGAGAUUUUUCUUCUUUCACUGCUCCUUCCAAGGAAAAGCUCAAAUUACUCUGAUGGAGGAAGGCUUUAAAAUGGAAACACAGAUGGAGGAAUUUAAAGGGACUUCAAGGGAGUUCGGGGUAGCCCGUUUUUUCCUGACGUGGUGGCAUUAAUUCUUACAAACAAUUUCUCCCAAUUAAAAGGAAAAAAGAGAGUUACACUGGAUUUUCUUUUGAAUCAGUUGGAACUUUGAGCUGGCUGAGACAAUCAUCAGCUUAUCUCACCAUUUAUUUUCAUUAAGCUUGCAUUUAACACAUCUUCUUUGGCCUUCCUUCCUUCCAAAGCCCCAGACAGAAGAUGCAGCUGCAUGUUGGGUACAACAAGCAGAUCUAUGCAUACAGCCAUUCUCUUAGCCUAACAUGCCUUUGAUUUUUGCCACACAGACUUUUAUUUAUACAAUGAAUUCUCAUAUAGCAAACACACUCUUGACUCCUCGACCUUUGGAGAAGGGCUGGUGAGCAACACGUGGGCAAAGGUUUGUUCCAAGGUAUAUCCUAUAACACUGGGUGAGAUAGAAUAGCUCAGCCUCCUCUCUGCCUUAGUUUCCCCAUCUGAAAGUAAAAGCAAGAAAUAAUGGAACUGCAACGUAUUGCAAAAAUUGCACGUUCACAAACCAUGAAUUGAAGAGAUGGGGAGAGAGUCUCAAGAUGCUUCUGAGUAAAAAAUCAUUCACUGGAGGACAACUCUUGGACAUUUCAGGGGCUUCCCAGCUGCAUUCUGGGGGAAGGUUUGGAAAACCUAACGUAUAGUGUUGGAACAGAGCAGGCAUCCCACCGGGCCACUUCGUCCUGGUGAGGGCGUAUGGCCAGGAAAGCAAUGAGAGCUCAGAGAAAGAAUAUCUGGAAAAUAAAUGAGCAAAACCUUGCUCUGUCUCUUGCUAACUGUUAACAAUACAAAGAAAGAAGGAAUGAGGGGGGAAAAGGAAAAAAAAAAAAGCAACACAAACCACUCAAGUCUGGGAGAAAUGGAAUGCGGAGCUUUUUUGGCACAAACCGGGCAGGAGAAGUUUCCAGAAGAAACAACAUGAGUGAGAGGAUUAUUGCAAAAGGCCAGAGUGUCAAAUCUGUGCUGGGAGUUAAAAGGAGCCCAUAAAAUCCACUCAGCAGAAAUGGAGCCAGAGCAAGGUCUGGAGUUAACUCCUUAAAGUCUACAAAGCAGUGAUAACCAUCAGGAGUGACUUCCUUUCUAUAAGGUGCAGAGUCUGGGCAAAGUCCCCUCUCAGCCACCACUCAGAGAGCUAUAAAGAGGGAAAAGGCAAAUCAAGCAGGUUGAGGAUUAUUUUAUG